AGCUAGUCCAAAAGUGUGAAUAUUAGAAAAACAGGUGUGAACGUGAACACAGUGGCAGGCUGCCAUGGUUCUAAUGGCUGGACUGAAAUGGUAGGUGAUGCUACAUCUAAGGAAGAAAGAUGUGCUCUUGGUCCCACCUCAAGUCCAGGUCGCUGCCUUUACCUGCUGUCUCUAAUUCCUGUUCCCCAUGAGGAUGGAUGGGCCAGGUGCCAGGUGGCCUCAUUCAUGUUCUCCCAUCACGGCACCAGGAGCACCAGGCCAUGAUGGGGACCUCCUGGCAGUUCUGUUCUUACUCUGAGGGUACCCUCCACCCUCUGAGGAAGAGCAUAGCUACAGAGGCCUCCUCCAGGCUCAGAGGGGUUGGCUUUCCCUCCAGCUCUGGUUCAGCACUCCAGAUUAGAGGAACAGAAAGGAAAAGCAGCCUCUCCGCUGGGAUCCACAGUGGUUGGGUUUGUAUUUUCCCAUCAAGAGCCUUUCUUGGAGCUCUUGGGCUUUCUCCCAUCCCCUUCAAGUCACAUCUUAAUAAAAGCCUCCUAAAACUGAACUAUGUGAUGUGGGCUCCAAUCCCCAUAACCUUAUAACUGUAACCCUUUGGCACACUGGUCUAGGGAAAAUAUUACAGCCGUCUCUCCCCAAAGGACACUUGGCAAUUUUGGAGACAUUUUUGGUUGCUACUGUGGGUAGUGGUAGAGGGGUGUUAUCAUCCUAAAGAGGGAAGAGGCCAGAGAUGCUGCUAACUGUCUUACAAUGUGCAGGAAAGGCCCUGCGAUAAGAAUUAUCCAGUCACAAAUGUCAGCAGUGGCCAGACAGAGAAGCCCCGAUCCUUCUCCACCUUACUACCCAGGAUUGGAAACCACAGUCCCUGACUUCCCUGUGGGGACUCCCAAUUACAUGGCCCUUCUUCUGGUGGUAGCUUUUCUGACAUAUUGAUAAACCGAUUCCUACCGCUGUACUGGUCAUGGGAGAAGGGACUGGAGAUUUUGCAACUGAGUUGAGCACUUUCUCCUCAGAGGGUCCUACUUCUGAUCUGGAUGCCAGUUCAUGUGACAGUCUGCGACAGGGUGACAUGCAUAUAGAUGGCAUGGAUACCGACAACAGCUCUUCUAUACAUUAUGGACUUAUCAUUGUAUGUUAUUAAGUAGUACUAAACAAUACUGCCUUCUGGUACUCAGAUUUCCCUCAGGUAACAGACACUGCUGGCCCCACUGUGCAGGCCCUAGGCUCUGUGCUGCCUUGGAAGCUCGCCAGGACGAUGCUCAUUAAAAUGCAAGAUCCUGGGGUCCCCUCUUGGGGUCUCCUCUGACUGCACAGUCACGGUAGACCCUGAGAGUCCGUGAUUCUAGCCAGCAGUAGAGGCUGCUCUACAGUAAGCUAUCCAGGGCCCACCUGUAAGAACCAGUGGUAGAAAUCACAAAAUUCUCUCGGCCUAACGCCAGGCUUGAGAAUUCAAUGUGGUGAUUUUCUGUAUCUCUGAAAAAAAUCUAACAUUUAUUCUCUCAAGUUUCCCAUUUUCAGCUGAACAUGGAUGGUAAGGGAGCAGGAUGCCAUUACACUGGAGAGAUGGAACAUUUCCAUGGGAACAGAGGCAUGGCAUUUUACCUUAAAAGUGGAUUUGGAUAACUCAGAGUGAACAUCAAGCACAGAUGUUUGUAUGGACAGGAGAGAGAGCCCUUGCCUGCUCCUCAUCUCUGAACUGACCUCAGUACACAGUCCCAGCUUUGUUUGGUAAUGUGGUCUCUUGGUCACCAAGAUAAAUGGUUCCUUUGGUUACUUUCAGUUGAAUUUCAAAGCCCCUUCUCUGACCUGCUUCCCAUUUGUGAGUUUUCAGUGGACCAGUCAUUUUAACACACCAACUACCAUGAACCAUGCAGCCUAAACUUUCCUUUUUCAGUGGGCCAGUGGUUUUAACACACCAACUACCAUGAACCAUGCAGCCUAAACUUCCCUCCAAGUAAAGUCCUUCCAAGCUGUUGUAAGACCUCAACAUUAAUGUCUAAAAUCAAGAAGUUGUCUCACUAUGUAGAGUGUGUGUGUGUGUGUGUGUGUGUGUGUGUGUGUGUGUGUAACAUAGUCAAUCACUUUCAGCCCAAUCACUUCAUCUGACUGUGAUCAAUUAAAAAGUAAAAUUUAAUAAUAAAAGAAACAUCAGGUAUGCAAACCACGUCGAUAACCCCAGCACUGAAGAAAAGCAGAAGGGUCUCUGUGAAUCUGAGUUUCUAUACCAAGUUUCAGGCCAACUAGAACUACAUAGAAAGACCCCCAUCUCAAAAAACAAACAAACGAAAAGACAUCUAUAUGAUAACAAACAACAGAUUUGAGCUAAUGUAUCAUAGUUGUCGUUAGAGGAAAACGGUAUGAACUGAGGGCCAGAACGUCUCAGGAUGCUCUAAAGUGGGUCUCUUUCACCUCUCCUGAGCUCUCUCACAUUCUGUUCCUCUAGAACGCUGUUCUUAUACUUUAAAAGUCGCUAUGCUCUCACCUCAUUUUCCACGUCUCCUUUUUAGUCUAGGUAGCCCCUCAUUGGCCGCUGGGCUCACAAACUCGGCACUCCCUUAAAUUCACUCGUGGGUGAAUCACUUCAAAAUACUCCAAUCUCUGUGCCCUUACUGAAAGCCAUCCAACAGAGAGACGACUUUCCAAGCCAGAAACAACUCUAUAGACAUGUGAACAAAACCUCAAUUUUGUAUACGAGGCACAGCCCAAGACCACCCAAGUUCCCUUGAUCCACGCAGCCCACCUCUGGACAGGAGAGACCCCUUCCAGCAUGCUGAAACUUCAGUCAACACAUCAACCUGGAUGCAAAUCUCCACCCCACUCGGCAUUGCUGCUUUUACCCACCAAGGACUCACAGCCCAGCAUGCAAAUAGUGGGUGCUCAAGCAUAAGAACCCCCCGAGCCCUAAAAAAGCUGACAACCUCCUGAGCACCAUCCCCGGCAGCUCCAUGGGGAACUUGACAUCCAAAGUCUCAGUCCUGGGAUCUUUAACUUAGGAAUUCUGAAGACAUUCUGAAGGAGGCAUUUAGAGACAUAUGGGGAACUUCCUGGACUCUUUGGGCUCUCUUCUCCCACCUCCCAGAUGCAGCUAAUAGGAAGAAGGCCAAUAUAGAAGAAGCUAAGUAGAGCAUGGGAAGGGAUAUGAUGGGGAAGUGCAGGGAGCUGUGAAAGUUCAUAUGGGCGGGGCGUAAGCGGGACUCACAGGAAAGGGGGCCGGCUUCCUGAAGCAGGCUCUCUCACACUCUGACUUGACAAAUGUGUUAGAGACAUGAGAAGGUUUCCAAAAGGACCAGCUGUGGCGGCUCACACGCCUGUAAUCUGAGCCCUGAGGCUGAGGGAGGCAGACUGCCCUGAGUUUUUAAGAGUCAGAUCCCUUCACAAAAUGAAAAGGGGGGAGGGGAGCAGGGAGAGGGGUGAUGGGGCGGGGAGAGGGAGACAGGGUUAUAAAAAGCUCUCUAGAACAGUAUAGAAAGAUCUCCUCUGCUUGCUCCUAGGCUGCUGAAAAGUGUGAAAAGAAUGAGCGGGGUCAGAGGGUGCUGUAGGCAGGUCCCAGAAGGCCCUGGUGAAGUUUUGUCUUCUUUCAGGUAAAUGGGGAUCUCCAAGGAGUCUUCUUCAGCUUGGCAGAGUGAGGAGGCUGAACCCAACCCCCCAAGUGGGAGGACAGAAGGGAGGAAGGUUGCACAAGGAAAGAAGAGAAAACACACCAGAGCCUCUGAUGGAAAUGAGAACCCUGAAGGUUCUUACACAAGAAGCAGAGACGCUCUGACCCUGACUCCAGUGACUGACUGGGGUGGUGGCAGUUCCCACCACAGAGAAGGGGUAUGCACAAAAGGAAAGAAGCCUGACCUGGGGCCGGGAACUGGGAGCCGUGGACUCGGUACAGUUCCAGGCCAGAAGUGGGACUCCACAUGAUGGAGACAGCAGUGGCCGGGCCUGUGUGGGGGCCAGGGUAGCUUCCCUGGAAAUGAGACCACGAAAGUGGUUAGGAAGCAAGGGUGCAGGGAGGAAGCCACUGUCCACAAAAGAAACAGCAGUGGCCAUUAAAAUGUGUCCCCCAGCGUGUGCAAUCGGGGGAGCAUCAAGAAUGGUCAAAGGAACAGGAUGGCCAGAGGUCACAGGGAGACCUCAGGCACGUCUGAGGAACUGGACUUUUUUUUUUUUUUUUUUUUGGAAAGGCCUCACUGUGCAACUCUGGCUGGCCUGGAACUCACUGUGUAGACCAGCAGGCUGGCCUCUAACUCUUCUGCCUCCCAAGCGACAGGAUUAAAGGUAUGUGUCACCAUGCCACACCCAACAAGGUGACAAAACUUUCAAACAUGCCUUGCCUUUUACUGUGAUUACAGAAUCCCGUGGGUGUUCUUUGUAGACAUUUUAAAGAAGAAUAAACAAAAAUGGCCGUGUCCAUGUCAUGUGGAUAGUGA
Molecule: long non-coding RNA, 4415 nt
Organism: Peromyscus leucopus (white-footed mouse)
Lineage: Eukaryota; Metazoa; Chordata; Mammalia; Rodentia; Cricetidae
Exons: 3
Source: RefSeq, a predicted model, not a curated record